AUUCAUUAGCUCAGAGUAUCUGAAGCGUGAUCGCGGGCAGCUGGAAUACAGGCUGAGUCUCACACAACAUGCUUGAAAUUAUUUACCGCGUGAGGAAGAUAUAUUACUUGAUUGUUGCCGUUAUUGGUGUCCCUGCUACCUGGUCCUGUAUCGCCACAAGGAACAACUCAGUUUCUGGGAAGAGAUCUCCAACUUUUAGCCUGGCGUCAGACGCUUCUAGUUGACACCUGGUCUGCUCAGGUGGUGGGGAUCUCAUCCCUGGACAAUUAUGCUCAUCCAGGUUAACUCUUUCUUCUACAGCAGUGUUACCCAACCUAUUCUAGACCUUUUCGUGCCGCGAAACAAGUGGAAAUAUCGAACACCCUGGUUGCUAAUUUAUGCAUCCCCAACAACGUCUGUUAGGAUUCCAACAGAUUUGUCUGGGAAGAUUUCUACUGAGGAAAACCAUGCCGACUUUGGCCGUACAGGGGAGGAUUCAAAAGAACUGUCAUGGUGGGGAAUAAGAUGGCGGCACAACGCAGCGCACACGGCCUCUCUGGAGAAUGAUAUCUGUUACUUGUUAAGUACAGAUUUGUAUCUGUACAUUAAGUAUAAUAUUGUUGUGUAAUAAGUACCCUGAUUUGAUGGAGACAGACGUGAGAGCUUGCAGGAACAUCAGGAGAAACUUCUGAAAUGCCCGUUUCGCUGCCGCUGCGGUCCGGAAUCUUCGGAGGAGAAGGCCUCUGAGACCUCGGCUUUGCUUGUUUCGGUGGCCAGGACGAAGGCGCUCGGCAGAGGAUGGCACUCGGGAGACUGUAUCGCAGGCUCAAAGUUUUCGGAAGGACUCAGAGUCUGCUGUGGUCGAAUGCUUCCAAGGCAUCAGUUUGUCGGUGCCUGGGAGUUUAUGGCAGGGAGAGUUUCUCCCUUUUGCUGCCUGAUAUCGGGACUAUUAGAGUCAAUCGGGACUUGAGACUUUCUCUUAAACCGUGCCCAUGGUCUACUUUUAUCAAAUUAUGGUAUUGCUUUGCACUGCUGUAACGAUAUGUUAUAAUUAUGUGUUUUUUUUUGUCAGUGUGACUCUUUGGUUUGUCCUGUUUUUUGUGUGAUAUCACUCUGGAGGAACAUUGUAUUAUUUCAUAAUGCCCGCAUGCAUUUAUAAAUGACAAUAAAUGAGGACUGAGUGUCCUCAUAAUCUAAUGGAACAGAAUCACUGGCAGGGUCCGGCUAGCCAGUGUUGACUCUCUACUGUACACUAGCUGUGUUACAAAUUCACUUAAGUACCAAAGACAGAGUUUAAAAUAAACUGAUUUAUUUGUCUCAGAUCCAGAAUAUUAAACUCCAGUCCCGUUAAAGGUGAAAGUGCAGCAGAAGAAACUCCUCCCAUGCCCAGAGACCAGUGUGCAGAACUGGAUGUGGUGAGCAAUAGUAAUUCAGCUCCAACAGUAACUCUCGAAAUUGCAUUCAGCAACAGUGAUAUUCAGCAACAAAUAUCCAGCAUGCAGCUUAUUGAAACUUUCUCCCCAGUAUGAACAAGGCAGUGUGUGACAAGUAUAAUAUGCUGUAAGGUUUCACUGCUGAUGUAAUGGUUUCUCUGUAGCAGCAAUGCUUGGUUAAGACCAGAGAAAACAGGGUUUUGUAGUGCAGGGCUAUCCAAUGAGAGAAACCUUCUUUCUUGUGAGUCUGGAAGAGAGAUUUUGUAGUCUUUUGCUGGGGAGAGAUGAGAAGACGUGAAUGGAGAGAGUGGGCCCUUUUCCUUUUUGCUUGUUUGUUUACUUUACUAACCCUAUCGUCAAAGUAAGAAUUAUAAAGCUCAAUUGGUUAAUCACAUAUUGUGUACUGUUUGUAAUUUCAGGGUACUGAUUUGUAACAGGGGACACAUCACACAGCAUCCACCCAAACGAGA
Molecule: long non-coding RNA, 1882 nt
Organism: Hypanus sabinus (Atlantic stingray)
Lineage: Eukaryota; Metazoa; Chordata; Chondrichthyes; Myliobatiformes; Dasyatidae
Exons: 3
Source: RefSeq, a predicted model, not a curated record